UGAACGCUAGCGACAGGCCUAACACAUGCAAGUCGAGGGCAGCACAAGGAGCAAUCUGAGGUGGCGACCGGCGCACGGGUGAGUAACACGUAUGCAACCUGCCUGUAAGCGGGGAAUAACCCGUUGAAAGACGGACUAAUACCGCAUAAUACUAAAUUACUGCAUGGUAAUUUAUUUAAACAUUUAUGGCUUACAGAUGGGCAUGCGCAUGAUUAGCUAGUUGGAGAGGUAACGGCUCCCCAAGGCAACGAUCAUUAGGGGUUCUGAGAGGAAGGUCCCCCACACUGGUACUGAGACACGGACCAGACUCCUACGGGAGGCAGCAGUGAGGAAUAUUGGUCAAUGGACGAGAGUCUGAACCAGCCAAGUCGCGUGCAGGAAGAAUGUCCUUAAUGGAUUGUAAACUGCUUUUGCAGGGGAAUAAAGUGCAUCACGUGUGAUGUUUUGUAUGUACUCUGCGAAUAAGGAUCGGCUAACUCCGUGCCAGCAGCAGC
Molecule: ribosomal RNA, 494 nt
Filed under: uncultured bacterium
Lineage: Bacteria
Description: bacterial SSU rRNA
Rfam family: Bacterial small subunit ribosomal RNA
Source: RNAcentral